This is a long non-coding RNA of Malus domestica (apple), 5468 nucleotides long. RefSeq lists it as uncharacterized. Lineage: Eukaryota; Viridiplantae; Streptophyta; Magnoliopsida; Rosales; Rosaceae. The record is from RefSeq and is a predicted model, not a curated record.
UUUGGACCGACCUAGGAUCCAGUCCAAUAUACAGUUUGGUCCACCUGCCGUGUCACUUUCUCGGGAACAUGUUUCCUCAAGUCUUUUCCAAUUGCCAGGUGAGAAAAUCAGAGCGAGAGAGAGAGAACAGAAUCGAACAAAAAUCUCGAAAGAUCGAGAGCUUAUCAAACAGUACAAGACAGUCGAAGCUCUAAAAACUGCUCUUGAAGGCUCGCCUCUCAACACCAAAGACGAGCGCUGCAAGUCUGUAAAUUGGAUAAUGGUGCAUACAGCUAUCAUGGCUAUAAAAGAUGUGUGUUUUCUUCUUUGGAUCCCGAGUACUAUGACAUUCUCAUGAAGUAAGUAGUUAUACCUUAUGAAUGCUAUCCGAUUUUGGUUUCGAGUAUUUUACGUAAUCUUUUGAAUUGAAAAUUGAAAUUUAUGUAGAUAAUGAACUUUGUUUUGCUAAGGUGGUUUUGUAUUGAUUUGUUUUCUGUAUAUAACACGGAUCUCGUUAACGGUUGGUAAUAGUUGCCUGAUUCAAUGUGCUUAAAACUGUUGGAAGUUCUUUAACCAAAUAUAGAGUACACAUGAGUUUACUAGAGGGUUUUCGGUUAAACCGGUCGAGAAUUUUCCCAAACGGAGAACCAAAGUAAGUAUCUUGAGUCAUAGAAAUGAACUUGAAUUUGACUGGUUACGUAGUUCUGGCUCUUUCUUUGCGUGCAUUCUGUAUCUUUAUCAUUUUAGAUGGUGUGGUCCGUGUGGAUUAUAUGGGCAAGUUACCUAGACUUGUGCUUUGUUAGGGUACGAAAAACAAUGGUCAGGCCUUAGAGAGAUUUGUUUGAAUCAAAUAUGGCGGUUGAGUAUCUUAUAUUUCUGAAGGAAUCCAAUUUAUACGUCAGUGGAUGGGAUUUUGGGAAUACAAAUAUCACUAUAUGCGAAACAUUUGUAUGUUUCUUCUUAUUUCGUUUCUUAUCCAAGAUGACAGAUUAUAGUCAUUAGAGCGAUUGUUAUAUGUACGGUUUUGGUGCAGUGUCAUAUAAGCAAGUAUUCUACCCAAAAGUAUUAGAAAAUAUUAGGUAUGCAUAGUUUUUCUUCUAAGUUUGUGAUUUCAAUUUCUUGAUGUUUUGCUCCUUAGUUAUCUUUAUUAUUCUUCCUUUUCCUAUAAGAAAAGUUCUCCUGCCUUUCUUUUCCCCAUCUUUGGUAUAUGCUGUUGUUUAGGACAUUUUACAAUUUCGGGCAUUCUUGAUUCCUGAGGACCUCUGGUCUUUCUAGAGUCUCGCUUUUUACUUCCGGUUAACAUUUUCCUUUGGUGGUGUUUGUGUUUUUUUUGGGUGAAUGAAUGAUUAUAUUAAAGAGAACCAAAAAGAAGCAACAAACUACAACACAACAAUGGCAACAAAGGCCAAGCUAAAAACAAACAAAUAAAAACAGGAGGCUGUAAAAAACAGAAACAACCCAACCUAACAACCAACACCAAAAGGAGAACUACAUAGGAAUUCUCCAUUCUUGAAAUAUAGGCACAUUUGCAGUAGAAAGCGGAAUCUACAAAGAACAUAACCGUAAGUGUAUAGAGUUCACAAUGGCUUUAAAGAUGGCAACAGAGUGGAGAUGCUCGUUUCUGAAUUUACGAUUAUUCCCUUCUUUCCAGAUAGCAUAGACAACAGCUUGGAGGCACAACUUCUUAAAGCUAACAUCCAAUGACUAAUUCGUCCAAUUAUUAGCAGCCCAAGUGAUAAACUUAUGCCAAUCCAAACGAGGAGUAUCACAACCACACUUAGAAAGCAUAUGAGACCAAAUAUUGGCACUAUACAGACACUCAAAGAACAAGUAAUUGUGAGAUUCAUUACCAGUCAAGCAAAGAGAGCAAAUAAGAGAGGCAUGAUGGGUAAAGACCAUUACCCGAUCCAUAAUAGAUAACUUACCCCUUAUAGCUAGCCAAAGAAUGAAGCUCCACCUUGGGACAUGCUCGCCAAACCACAAGAGACCAGCCCAUGGGACCUUUGGAUGGGGCUCCCUAAUAGCAUUCCAAGCGGAUGAGGCAUAGUAGCUUCCAUUGGGUGACAACGUCCAAGUAACAGAAUCACGCCUAAACUGGUUCGGAAAAAGUUGAAACAUAGAAACUCGAAUUUCCAAUAAAUCAUUAGGGGAAGAAAAAGGCCACCUCCAUUCGAAACCAUUCUCAACAAUAAUCUCUCAGACCGAAUUUUGGUUGGAGCUAUGAUUCCUCAAUCAUACUAGAAGGCCAUCUAUGGCUAAGGGGCUUGAGUGGGUGCCAAUUGUCAAACCAUAGAGAGGUGGAGUGCCCAUCACCAAUGACAUGAAAGAAGAAGAAUCUAACCAGCCCUCUGAGAUGAAGGAUUUUCCUCAAAUUCCAAGAGCGAGCAAACAGAAGGAAAAAGGGGCAUUCCAAAAAAGAAUUACCUUGAAGUAAAUAAGCCUUCAAAAAAGUCAGACCAUAAAUUAGAAGCACAAGAAAUUAAGCUCCAAAUAUGGUGGAUCAUAAGAGCUUUAUUCCAACACUGUAAUCUCUUUAAGCCAAGGCCCCCCUCAGCCUUAUGGAGACAAAUAUUAGACCAAGACACCUUAGUUGCAUAACUCCCUAAGCAAGUACCAGACCAUACGAAGGAGCAGAGUCUUCUCUCAAUAUCUAAAAGGCACUUUUUGGGGAGGAUCAGAUGUGAGCACCAAAAAACCUGGAUACUGGAAAGCACAAAUUGGAUGAGUUGCAAUCUCCUAGCAAAAGAGAGCAUUAUUCUCCCAGCUUUUAAUCCUUGCUUCAGCCUUGUCAAUUAAAGGAUAGCAAUCACAAAGCUUAAGCUUGGAAGUGAUUAGAGGAACUCCUAAGUUACCGGCAAAAAAUUGGCUCUUGGAGGCACUAGAGAAUCGUACUUUAACAUUAAUAAUACAGGACAACAUCUCCAUAGCAAUGACAAAUAAGUAAGGAGACAAGAGAUCCCCUUGCCUAAGCCACGCCUACUCCCAAAGUAACCUACAAGCUCACCAUUUACAACAAUCGAGAACAUAGGAGACGAGAUGCAACUCUUAAUCCAAUUAAUCAUUGCAGGUGAGAUAGCAAAUGCAGCAAGAGUAGAAAGUAUAAAAUCCCACUCCACGAUUUCAUAAGCUUCAUACCUAGGAGAUCCUUCGACUUUGUGGUAGUCACGAAGGAUUUCUUGAGCGAAAAGGAUAUUAUCCCCAAAUUUUCUUCCUGGAAUAAAGGCCGAUUGAAUAGGACUUACCAUAUGAGAUAAAACUUCCUUGAGCCAAUUAGACAACAACUUAGCUAUAAUUUUAUAAAGCUUGUUACAGCAGGAGAUAGGUCUAAAAUCACUCAUUGUAUCAGGAAUAGAGACCUUAGGGACAAGGGUGAUGAUAGUAGAAUUUAACUCCUUAAGAAGAUGACCUGAGUGAAAAAAAUUCUUGAACAACAGCGAUGACAUCAUUUCCAAUGACGGACCACACUCGUUUAAAAAAAAAACAACCAUUAUAACCAUCUAGUCCAAGAGACUUAUUAGGAUGCAUAGAGAAGCAAACUGACUUAUUGUCAUCUGGAGUGAAAUUAGCACAAAGAGAAUCAGUAAGGAUAUAGUCCAUAGGGUUGGACACUAGCCUGUUCAAACCAUCACGCCUAGAAGAGUCCUCGCCAACAGAACAAACAAGGACUGAUUGAAAGAAAUUGAUAGCUUCCUGCUUGACUUCCUCCUCCGAAUUGACAAUAGACCCAUCAACUCUAGUAAUAGAAACCAAACGAUUCCUACUUCUGUUCUUCGAUAUAGACUUGAAGAAAAAUGAAGAAUUUCUAUCCCUGCCUUUAGCCAUUGAACUCUAGACUUUUGCCUCAAGAACAUUUCCUCCACAGUCAAAAUCGAAGCAUAAGCAUUAUAAAAGAUUUUUUCUUGUGCUCACAAGGAGUUGUCAAAAUGGUUAGAGUAAAGAAGCCUUUGACACAUAUCUAAAUCUGCCUUGGAAUUAACAACAAUAUGCUGCCAUGUGAAUCAUAACCUUUACUGUGAGUGAAAUUUCAACCCAUCUCCAUAGAAAAAUAAACGUAAUUUGUCUUUGUUACGUUUUUAAUGUAGAGAAAAUAAGGUGAAGUUUUGAUCAACUUUCUUUUAGGUUAGCCUUUUGGUCUAGUGGUACAUGUAUCUGACCAAUGUUGAAAGAUACCUAUUAUAUGUAUCCCUCCCUUGUUAGAAAUAGAAUUGCCUUAAAACUCUUACCAUCAGUUCACUUUGUUAUUUUGUCAAUAGAAGAUUGCAUCAAGUCCUAAUUGAAAAGUUGCCACCCUUUUAACACGAUAUGUAUUUUUUGAUACAUAUCUGACUGCGAUUUGCGAGUGAUAGCUGCUUCUUACAUGUAAAGAGUUUGUGAAAGUAUACCCUUUUAUUUUUAACCAUCAUUUUAUUGGUUGCUAUUAUUCAUAAUCAAGCCCAUCACCGAAUACAUAGCAAGAACAAAGGGAGAGAAUAUAAGAGUCAAAAUCUAAUGAAAUAAGUUAACAAAUUGACAUUCAAAAGGUUAACUUUUCCACUUAGAUUAUAUAAACAAAUUCACAUUCUCCUCUGUUAGUUACCUUUGAAUUGUCCUACUACUUCCAAGUUUCCAGCACAUCAAACAACUUUUUACUUGGUCGCCAACUUCUUAACUUUGCCUACCGUAAAAUUAGUAAAAGCCCAAAAUUUUAACCAAUAAACGGAGGGGCAGGCCCUUAGGGAGUAGGGUUAUCUCCUAUUCUAUUCUCAUUCCUUUCACUCCUCUCCUCUCACUCUUUACUUUUUGUAUUAUUUGUCUAUAAAAAAAUUCAAUAUAAGAUUUUGUCAUAGUUUAAUCGUAAUCGUUCAAAUAGGAGGGAAGAGAAAGAGAGAGAGAAUACGAGGAGAGAGAAUCCUCCUCUGGCCUUCAAUUACCAAAACCAUAUCCUAAGGUCCACUACCCUACACAUUGUCGCCCAUUUCCUCCUAAUGAGGUAAAUGUUUCUAAGUCAUUAGUUUUCCCAUGAUCCUCCUACUUCGAACUGGAAAUUAUGACCGAUGGGCGAAUGCAUCAAGCGGUCGAUGUUGGAUCGGAAGUUUGGCCUAUGGCCUGAUGGGAAUAGGCCGUUGGAUAUUAGGCAGACCAUUUUCACCAAAAAAGCGAAAACUGUGCUAUGCAAUGUUGGUGUUUUUCUACCAUGCACUAGUGUCUUAGACCUUUUGACAUAAAAAAAAAAAAAAAAAAAAAGAGGAUAUAUGCUUGACCCUCCAUUGCAUGAUGCGUGUCAUGCACCAGAGCAUGGUAGAAUUUUCAGGUUGGUUUAGGCAAACAAAUAGAACAAAUUUGACCCCAAAUAAGAUGUAAACUAUCAUGGAGAGAGGCAGGACGUAUCCAUUUCCCAUCAAUAAUAAAAUUGGAGAUCCGUGCAUGCAAAGUCUUACCCAAAGCAUUUGGAGUGUUUAAAACUUCAAUUAAGGAUUUAUCCAACAAAUUGGCAUGCCAAAAAAAAAAAA